AGAGUUUGAUCCUGGCUCAGGAUGAACGCUGGCGGCGUGCCUAAUACAUGCAAGUCGAGCGAACGGACGAGAAGCUUGCUUCUCUGAUGUUAGCGGCGGACGGGUGAGUAACACGUGGAUAACCUACCUAUAAGACUGGGAUAACUUCGGGAAACCGGAGCUAAUACCGGAUGAUAUUUUGAACCGCAUGGUUCAAAAGUGAAAGACGGUCUUGCUGUCACUUAUAGAUGGAUCCGCGCUGCAUUAGCUAGUUGGUAAGGUAACGGCUUACCAAGGCAACGAUGCAUAGCCGACCUGAGAGGGUGAUCGGCCACACUGGAACUGAGACACGGUCCAGACUCCUACGGGAGGCAGCAGUAGGGAAUCUUCCGCAAUGGGCGAAAGCCUGACGGAGCAACGCCGCGUGAGUGAUGAAGGUCUUCGGAUCGUAAAACUCUGUUAUUAGGGAAGAACAUAUGUGUAAGUAACUGUGCACAUCUUGACGGUACCUAAUCAGAAAGCCACGGCUAACUACGUGCCAGCAGCCGCGGUAAUACGUAGGUGGCAAGCGUUAUCCGGAAUUAUUGGGCGUAAAGCGCGCGUAGGCGGUUUUUUAAGUCUGAUGUGAAAGCCCACGGCUCAACCGUGGAGGGUCAUUGGAAACUGGAAAACUUGAGUGCAGAAGAGGAAAGUGGAAUUCCAUGUGUAGCGGUGAAAUGCGCAGAGAUAUGGAGGAACACCAGUGGCGAAGGCGACUUUCUGGUCUGUAACUGACGCUGAUGUGCGAAAGCGUGGGGAUCAAACAGGAUUAGAUACCCUGGUAGUCCACGCCGUAAACGAUGAGUGCUAAGUGUUAGGGGGUUUCCGCCCCUUAGUGCUGCAGCUAACGCAUUAAGCACUCCGCCUGGGGAGUACGACCGCAAGGUUGAAACUCAAAGGAAUUGACGGGGACCCGCACAAGCGGUGGAGCAUGUGGUUUAAUUCGAAGCAACGCGAAGAACCUUACCAAAUCUUGACAUCCUUUGACAACUCUAGAGAUAGAGCCUUCCCCUUCGGGGGACAAAGUGACAGGUGGUGCAUGGUUGUCGUCAGCUCGUGUCGUGAGAUGUUGGGUUAAGUCCCGCAACGAGCGCAACCCUUAAGCUUAGUUGCCAUCAUUAAGUUGGGCACUCUAAGUUGACUGCCGGUGACAAACCGGAGGAAGGUGGGGAUGACGUCAAAUCAUCAUGCCCCUUAUGAUUUGGGCUACACACGUGCUACAAUGGACAAUACAAAGGGCAGCGAAACCGCGAGGUCAAGCAAAUCCCAUAAAGUUGUUCUCAGUUCGGAUUGUAGUCUGCAACUCGACUACAUGAAGCUGGAAUCGCUAGUAAUCGUAGAUCAGCAUGCUACGGUGAAUACGUUCCCGGGUCUUGUACACACCGCCCGUCACACCACGAGAGUUUGUAACACCCGAAGCCGGUGGAGUAACCUUUUAGGAGAUAGCCGUCGAAGGUGGGACAAAUGAUUGGGGUGAAGUCGUAACAAGGUAGCCGUAUCGGAAGGUGCGGCUGGAUCACCU
This 1540-nucleotide ribosomal RNA is filed under the name Staphylococcus aureus M1334. RNAcentral's name for it is "16S ribosomal RNA". It matches the Rfam family "Bacterial small subunit ribosomal RNA". The record is from RNAcentral. Lineage: Bacteria; Bacillati; Bacillota; Bacilli; Caryophanales; Staphylococcaceae.